GCUCAUACCGUUGUUUUAAUAAUACAAUUAAACAAUAAAUAAUAUUUUCAUCUUAAGAAAUAAUUUUUAUAAAAAAUAUUUUUUAUGUAAAUUAUUUUUCGCAAAUAAACGAAACCCUAAGUUUCAAUUUUUAGGAUAUUGUGGCUAAGUAUCAGUCAAUUUUGUUUUGCUAACGCUUAUAAUCAAAUUGAGAGUAAUUGAUGCUAUUAAAGACUAAAAAGUGCUAAUUCAAUACAUGGAGGUGCACGUGCCCUUUAAAGUCUGCCAACGGCACCAAAGAACUUCCCUUUUUGUCUGGCAUAUUUCUUAUUUUACCAUCAAGCAAUUGGGUUUUUCCCUUUUUUUUUAUAUUUUUAUUAUCCCUUUGUUUGAAUUACAAGAAAUCCUAUAUGCUAUUGAGAAAAAUUAUCUUGUUUUCCAAGUUAAGUAUUCUACUUCUUGUCAUUAUUCAUGCUUGAGCUAUGGUUCUUCAAGUAGCAACCAUGGUAGGAUUAUUUGAAAUGUAAUGUAAAAUUUUUAUUUGUGAAUUUAGAAUUUGAUAGCUAUUAUUUUUUUAAUUAUAAAGUACAUUACUACAUUGAAAUAAUAUAUA
RNAcentral lists this unclassified non-coding RNA (592 nucleotides) under Hevea brasiliensis (rubber tree). The record is from RNAcentral. Lineage: Eukaryota; Viridiplantae; Streptophyta; Magnoliopsida; Malpighiales; Euphorbiaceae.